Molecule: long non-coding RNA, 1021 nt
Filed under: Coturnix japonica (Japanese quail)
Lineage: Eukaryota; Metazoa; Chordata; Aves; Galliformes; Phasianidae
Description: lncRNA (ENSCJPG00005003034.1)
Source: RNAcentral
ACACUGCCUCCCCUCUCCCACACCUGGCACGCAGUACCUGCUUGCUGCCAUCUGCCACACCACCAUGUGUUUGUUGGCUGAAGGAGAAGUGCUGUGGCUUACCUGGGAGAGGGAGCUCAGUGCUGGACACCCCUGGCUGGAUGCCAUCACUACUGGCAUUGGGAUGAAUUCCUACUUGUGCUGCUGGAGUGAGUGAUGGACUGACCAUCUCUGCAUAGGUCGUGGUACAUAAAUAAAGCACUCUGUCAGCCAGGCUGCAGGAAGCAAUGGGCAGCACUGCACAUGACAGGCUAGGACAGAUUUUCCUUCCUAUCCAUUAGCAAGUGUAGGGAAGGAAGCUGUCUCAACACUGCUCCUUGCACUGCGCUCCAGUUCAAUAACAACCAUCCAUCACUCUCCAUCCAUCCUGACCUCUCCUAAAGAGCCACUGGAAUCCUGUUAUUCACAUAGUCCUUCAUGUUAUUAUUUCCAGCCUGGUGUGGGUCCUUUUAACCCCUGGCCUUAUGGGCUUACCUUCAUCUCAGAGGAGUUUAUGGAAUAAGAUCCACACCCUUGCCCUUUUCAGCCCAGAGAAAGCUCCUUGUGACAUGACAGAAAUCCAAGAAAUCAACCACUCCAGAGCUUUCUCCAGCCAGAUUUUUUGGUGGAUGAGCAGUGCCUGGAUGCAUCUCCAGAGAUUAUGUGUUCAGAUGAUGCCAAUGGAGGGAUGAGGAUGGCAUGUGCCCUGGUAAGUCAUCUCUUGCUCUUUCUCUUAACUGGCUCACUGUGUUAGAUCUGUUUCCUUGUGGUCUUGCUAUGAAAGAAUCAAAAAUGUGUGGAAAUAUGUAAUGUCCUCCUUGCCCUUUUAGUGUCCCGAAAGCUGGCAAGCUCCAUACCUGGACCUAUGGCUGAACAGAUUCACUAACAGCUUUCUUUUGUAAUAUCUCAGCUUGGAGAAGUUAAUUAUCUCCAAAUAUUGAAAAGGGCAGAUGGAUUUUGUAGGAUUUACUUGGCUGUGUAAUUUUGGUGCCCCAGAGAUGCU